This 433-nucleotide ribosomal RNA is filed under the name uncultured bacterium. RNAcentral's name for it is "partial 16S ribosomal RNA". It matches the Rfam family "Bacterial small subunit ribosomal RNA", at positions 29 to 507 of the family's 1533-position model. The record is from RNAcentral.
AACGAACGCUGGCGGCAUGCCUAACACAUGCAAGUCGAACGAGACCUUCGGGUCUAGUGGCGCACGGGUGCGUAACGCGUGGGAACCUGCCCUUAGGUUCGGAAUAACUCCCCGAAAGGGGUGCUAAUACCGGAUCAUGUCUUCGGACCAAAGAUUUAUCGCCUUUGGAUGGGCCCGCGUUGGAUUAGCUAGUUGGUAGGGUAAAAGCCUACCAAGGCGACGAUCCAUAGCUGGUCUGAGAGGAUGAUCAGCCACACUGGGACUGAGACACGGCCCAGACUCCUACGGGAGGCAGCAGUGGGUAAUAUUGGACAAUGGGCGAAAGCCUGAUCCACCAAUGCCGCGUGAGUGAUGAAGGCCUUAGGGUUGUAAAGCUCUUGUACCCGGGAUGAUAAUGACAGUACCGGGAGAAUAAGCUCCGGCUAACUCCGUG